This 253-nucleotide ribosomal RNA is filed under the name uncultured bacterium. RNAcentral's name for it is "partial 16S ribosomal RNA". It matches the Rfam family "Bacterial small subunit ribosomal RNA", at positions 524 to 776 of the family's 1533-position model. The record is from RNAcentral.
UACGUAGGGUGCGAGCGUUGUCCGGAAUUACUGGGCGUAAAGGGCUCGUAGGCGGUUUGUCGCGUCGGGAGUGAAAACUCAGGGCUUAACCCUGAGCCUGCUUCCGAUACGGGCAGACUAGAGGUAUGCAGGGGAGAACGGAAUUCCUGGUGUAGCGGUGAAAUGCGCAGAUAUCAGGAGGAACACCGGUGGCGAAGGCGGGUCUCUGGGCCGAUACUGACGCUGAGGAGCGAAAGCGUGGGGAGCAAACAGG